GAUCCUGGCUCAGGAUGAACGCUAGCUACAGGCUUAACACAUGCAAGUCGAGGGCAGCAUGAACUUAGCUUGCUAAGUUUGAUGGCGACCGGCGCACGGGUGAGUAACACGUAUCCAACCUGCCGAUGACUCGGGGAUAGCCUUUCGAAAGAAAGAUUAAUACCCGAUGGCAUAGUUCUUCCGCAUGGUGGAACUAUUAAAGAAUUUCGGUCAUCGAUGGGGAUGCGUUCCAUUAGGUUGUUGGCGGGUAACGGCCCACCAAGCCUUCGAUGGAUAGGGGUUCUGAGAGGAAGGUCCUCCACAUUGGAACUGAGACACGGUCCAAACUCCUACGGGAGGCAGCAGUGAGGAAUAUUGGUCAAUGGACGAGAGUCUGAACCAGCCAAGUAGCGUGAAGGAUGACUGCCCUAUGGGUUGUAAACUUCUUUUAUACGGGAAUAAAGUCGAGGCCACGUGUGCCUUUUUGUAUGUACCGUAUGAAUAAGGAUCGGCUAACUCCGUG
This 502-nucleotide ribosomal RNA is filed under the name uncultured bacterium. RNAcentral's name for it is "bacterial SSU rRNA". It matches the Rfam family "Bacterial small subunit ribosomal RNA", at positions 15 to 507 of the family's 1533-position model. The record is from RNAcentral.